Molecule: ribosomal RNA, 530 nt
Filed under: uncultured bacterium
Lineage: Bacteria
Description: bacterial SSU rRNA
Rfam family: Bacterial small subunit ribosomal RNA
Source: RNAcentral
AAUGAACGUUGGCGGCGUGGAUUAGGCAUGCAAGUCGUGCGAGAAGCUCUCCUUCGGGAGGGUGGAAAGCGGCGAAAGGGAGAGGAACACGUGGAUCACUUACCCCUGGGUUCGGAAUAGCGGCGGGAAACUGCCGGUAAUGCCGGAUAACAUCUCCGGAUCAAAGCUUCGGCGCCUGGGGACAGGUCCGCGUCCUAUUAGCUUGUUGGCGGGGUAAAAGCCCACCAAGGCAUCGAUGGGUACCGGGUGUGAGAGCAUGGCCCGGCUCACUGGGACUGAGACACUGCCCAGACACCUACGGAUGGCUGCAGUCGAGAAUCUUCGGCAAUGGACGCAAGUCUGACCGAGCGACGCCGCGUGCGGGAUGAAGGCCUUCGGGUUGUAAACCGCUGUCAGAGAGGCGGAAAGCGUAAGCUUGACCUAAUCUCAGAGGAAGUACGGGCUAAGUUCGUGCCAGCAGCCGCGGUAAGACGAACCGUACGAACGUUAUUCGGAAUCACUGGGCUUAAAGGGUGCGCANGCGGCCCUGU